CAAAUAGGAAAUUUGAGGUUCAUCUUUGUAAUUUUAAUAAAAAAAUAAAUUGAAAAAUCUGCUAAUUUAUUUGUUUAAACAUGUACAUUAAGAUGUCAAUCAAAUAUUCACCAUUAAAUAAUUUCGACAUAAAAACUAUCACUUCUGAAAAUGUGAAUAAGGAACAUGCGGUGAAGCUUUCGGCAAAUUUACGGAAAUCAAUAAGUGCACGCGGCUGUUUUUCCGGAAUGAGGUGAAGCAAAGAAAAGUGAUAAAUUCAGUUUGUCACCCCUGUCACAUUAAUUCUUUUGUUUCGCUGAAAAUUAAGCUCUGCCAGGCACUAUUUUCAUCAAAAUAUAUAAAUAC
This 345-nucleotide long non-coding RNA is filed under the name Mytilus galloprovincialis (Mediterranean mussel). The record is from RNAcentral. Lineage: Eukaryota; Metazoa; Mollusca; Bivalvia; Mytilida; Mytilidae.